UUCACGGAGAGUUUGAUCCUGGCUCAGGACGAACGCUGGCGGCGCGCUUAACACAUGCAAGUCGAGCGAGAACCAGGGCUUCGGUCCUGGGGACAGCGGCGAACGGGUGAGUAACACGUGGGUAAUCCACCCUCGGCACCGGAAUAGCCCGGGGAAACCCGGAUUAAUGCCGGAUGGCCCGUCGACCCUUCGGGGCUGACGGAAAAGGUAGCUUCGGCCUCCGGCCGGGGACGAGCCCGCGACGGAUUAGCUUGUUGGUGGGGUAACGGCCUACCAAGGCUCCGAUCCGUAGCUGGUCUGAGAGGACGAUCAGCCACACUGGGACUGAGACACGGCCCAGACUCCUACGGGAGGCAGCAGUGGGGAAUCUUGCGCAAUGGGCGAAAGCCUGACGCAGCGACGCCGCG
Molecule: ribosomal RNA, 407 nt
Filed under: Actinomycetes bacterium
Lineage: Bacteria; Bacillati; Actinomycetota; Actinomycetes
Description: bacterial SSU rRNA
Rfam family: Bacterial small subunit ribosomal RNA
Source: RNAcentral